Molecule: transfer RNA, 58 nt
Filed under: Phrynocephalus putjatai
Lineage: Eukaryota; Metazoa; Chordata; Lepidosauria; Squamata; Agamidae
Also listed under: 1 other name
Description: tRNA-Cys
Source: RNAcentral
GGCCUAGGCAAUGCUAAAUUGCAAGUUUGGCUUUGAAAAUGCAAGUUUUCGUAGGCCU